Cajanus cajan (pigeon pea) is the source of this 1705-nucleotide non-coding RNA. NCBI's taxonomy places the organism in Eukaryota, Viridiplantae, Streptophyta, Magnoliopsida, Fabales, Fabaceae. The record is from RefSeq and is a predicted model, not a curated record.
CUGGUGGUGACCGAUGUAGAAUUUAAAUCCUAAAAGUUUUCUACAUCGUUUGUGUUGGUGCUCGAUGUAGAAUUAGAAGGGCAUUAUUAUUUUACAACGUUUUUAUUCGUGACCGAUGUAGAAUUGGAAGACAUUUCCAAACACAAGAACGAUCUCCUGCGUUCUCAUCAGUGCGCGCUUCUCCAACUCCAUGCGUAGGAAGCUUUUUAAUUGGCGAAAAAUUCUUCGCGUGUUCCUCAACUAAUCGUCUACUCUCGUGUACUAAGAAUUGAACGCAUUGUAUUCUUUGAAUAGACUAUUAGAAGCCUUGCCGGAUCCUCAAAACUGCGUUCAUCAGAAACUUCGAAAGCUGGUAAUUUAUUUUUUCCACUAUUGCCGACUGGGCUCUCCACUGUAAGCGCCGCCGCGAGGAUAUCAAAAGGGACACCGUUGCAGGUGCGGAUCUUGCUUCGGUGCUAGACGAGCAAAUUUUGAAAGAGAAACAGCCUGAUGUGGAUGAGUGUGAAAAUCAAGAUGAAGAGGCUGUUGCGAUGGUUGAAGAACCCCAUUCUGCUUAUGUUGGGUGAUAUUGUAAUUUCUGUUGAGAUAGCAGCAAGACAAGCAGAGGAAAGAGGGCACACUCUUCUUGAUGAGAUCUGAAUCCUCAUGGUUCAUGGUUUGUUACAUCUUUUGGGAUUUGAUCAUGAAAUAAGCGAAAAGGCUGAAGUAGAAAUGGAAAGAGAGGAGGAAAUCCUUUUAAGAAGUCUUGAUUGGAAGGGAAAAGGGCUAAUAAAGAGUGCAUGUGAUGUUGAAACAAACUCAAAUUUUCACCAAGACAGUUCAGAUGGCAAUUGUAUUUUUUACUAGUAUGCCUCAGCAAUCCUCAACUUGCAUAAUUUUAAUUUAUUGGUUUUAUAUAUUUCCCUCUAAUUCAAGUAACUAUCAUUUGCAUAAAAUGUAUGGGGCAAUAAUCUUAUAGAUGAAUUGUCAAAAGACAGGAAGAAAGAAGGCAGUCUUCGAUUUUACAAACCAAAGUUUAGCUAUAUCUUCUGUGAUAUGGAUGUAUAGCAUGUUGAGGGUCGGUUACUAUGCAACUAUUUGGGAUUGACAGCUAUGGUGCUAAUAAUAUUUCAAAUCCCCUAAUUAUGAAGAGAAGACUAAUGAGGAAAAGUUUAUUGAUUCAUCAUUACACCAUUAUGUUAUUUUCUCUAAUAAUGUGCUUGCAACUUCAGUGGUUAUCAACUCCAUUGUAUUUCAUGCAAAGGAAAGUUCAAAUCAGGUUUUUCAUGUGUUGACUGAUGGAGAAAAUUAUUAUGCAAUGAAGCUCUGGUUCUUGAGGAACCAUUAUAAGGAAGCUUCUGUUCAAGUGCUGAAUGUAUCAUUUUGUGGUUAUGAUUAUCCAUCCAUGAAACAUAUUAGAAUAGAAUACCUUUCAAUUUUUUCUGAUUCACACUAUUUACUUCCUGAUUUAUUCAGCAAUUUGGAGAAAGUUGUGGUUUUGGAUGAUGAUGUUGUUAUUCAACAAGACUUGUCUGCGUUAUGGAACAUGGACUUUGGGGAUAAACUUAAUGGUGCAGUGCAGUUCUGCUCGGUAAAGUUUAGGUUCGUGUCUAACUUGGGAGAGCUUUUUAAUGGUUCAUGAUUUUAAGUCAAGUUAGACAAAGGAACUCUUAAAAAAAAUUUACGUGUAUAGGUUGAUUUUAACUUCUGCAAGAAGUUUGAUGAA